AUUGAACGCUGGCGGCAUGCCUUACACAUGCAAGUCGAACGGUAACGGGCCUUCGGGUGCCGACGAGUGGCGAACGGGUGAGUAAUACAUCGGAACGUGCCCGAUCGUGGGGGAUAACGAGGCGAAAGCUUUGCUAAUACCGCAUACGAUCUACGGAUGAAAGCAGGGGACCGCAAGGCCUUGCGCGGACGGAGCGGCCGAUGGCAGAUUAGGUAGUUGGUGGGAUAAAAGCUUACCAAGCCGACGAUCUGUAGCUGGUCUGAGAGGAUGAUCAGCCACACUGGGACUGAGACACGGCCCAGACUCCUACGGGAGGCAGCAGUAGGGAAUUUUGGACAAUGGGCGCAAGCCUGAUCCAGCCAUGCCGCGUGCAGGAUGAAGGCCUUCGGGCUGUAAACUGCUUUUGUACGGAACGAAAAGCCUUCUUUUAAUACAGGAGGGUCAUGACGGUACCGUAAGAAUAAGCACCGGCUAACUACGUG
Molecule: ribosomal RNA, 482 nt
Filed under: uncultured bacterium
Lineage: Bacteria
Description: partial 16S ribosomal RNA
Rfam family: Bacterial small subunit ribosomal RNA
Source: RNAcentral